This 1238-nucleotide long non-coding RNA is filed under the name Chloebia gouldiae (Gouldian finch). RNAcentral describes it as "Erythrura gouldiae (Gouldian finch) lncRNA (ENSEGOG00005005618.1)". The record is from RNAcentral. Lineage: Eukaryota; Metazoa; Chordata; Aves; Passeriformes; Passeridae.
UAACAAAGGAAAAGAACUUUAUUAAGCUACUACCACUAUAACUACUAUAAAAGGAAAAAAAAAAAAAGAAAGCACAAGAUCCAAAAUGAAAACUUUCCAAAACAUUCCUCCUCCCACCACCCAACUCCAAGAAACCACAGUGAGACACAUUUGGACCCUUCAAUAUAAUCAAUACUAAGUCCAUCAGGGGAGAGAGGAGUCUCCCUUGCACCACAGACCCCCAGGAAACACAGCUGCCACUCCUUGUGUUUCCAUGUCACACAUGGCACUGCCCGAAGAAAAAAAAGUUUGCCAGUGUGACCCUCUCCUUUCCAUGCACAGUGCUCUCACCACCAAUGCAUGGAUGGACAGACUGCUUUUAGGAUUUUUUCCUUUCAAGGAUACUCUGCCAAGAGGGAAAAAAACAACAGUUCAGUUUUUCAUUUUUUGGGACCACAGUCCCCCCCAUUUUCUUCCUCCCCUGGGGCCGAGGGUCUCAGGAACAGAGAUCUUCUCUUCUUCUCUGAAGACGGGGGGCAUCACCACAAACCUCCCCAACUUUUCUCUGUUCGCUCCACUCCUGUGUUUUCCUCAGCUGCUGAAGCAGGUCUCUUGGCUCACCAGUAUCCUCCUAAAAUACAGUCUCUCUCUUGGAGAAGAAAAUCAGUUCAGUCUAUGGCUAAAAAGAAAAAGUCCAGCCAGAAGCCACUCCAUCAUCUCCUUCCACCCAGAAUUUCUCCUUCUAAUAUCUCGGGUCCCAGGCUGUGUCUCUUCCUCUCUUUCAAGCCGAAGAGGAGUAAAAUUUCACAAAGCUUUCAUUUCUCAAGGGAGGGUUAAAAGUCCCGACUCCCUGGCUGGCUCCCUGCCCGGAUCUCCGGCUCCCACCUGGGAGCUGGGCACCUUGUGGCCUUGGGGCCCCCCUGCUCUCCUCCUUCCCGCGGUACUGCUGGCAAACCGUCGCUGUCUCUUGAGAGAGAGAGAGACUCUGGCGGGGAACGGAGAUGUCCCAGAUGUUUUCCACCCUUCCAUCUGCAGGGGCCAGCCCGGUUCCAGUCCCUCCACCCUUCGGCCUUACCUCAGCCAGGCCGUGGGCCUUCCCCUCCCCCACCCAGCGAAGAGCCGGGCAGGGGAGAGUCCUGCACUGCACCCUGACCGGAACCAGAGAGAGCGAGUUCCCCUGGGAAUUCUGCUUUCAACCCGUCUGUGUUCUCAGAGGCGUGUCCACCCUCAAUUGGUCACCCCAAGUGUCAAUAUCCAAA